Hipposideros armiger (great roundleaf bat) is the source of this 1417-nucleotide long non-coding RNA. RefSeq lists it as uncharacterized. The record is from RefSeq and is a predicted model, not a curated record. Lineage: Eukaryota; Metazoa; Chordata; Mammalia; Chiroptera; Hipposideridae. The transcript is spliced from 3 exons.
UUGCCUCCCUAGCGGGAGCUGCAGGGGUGAAAAGUCGACUGGCAAGAACACACAGAGAGAAAUGGGCAGAUGUACACGGCAAGGGGGGGGUGGGGUGGGGAAGGCGCACGAGAGAACUAGACGUGCAACUUGCACGGCACGGGGUAAGCACCGCGCAGGGAGGUGGGGGGGUCACAAAAGUUUGCAGACUACUGCACUGCAGCCGGCUGCAUGGGGUCAAAGGGGGUCGACUCCCCCUCGCCAGGAGGGGUCUCUCCAAGGAUAUGCGCCAACGGGACCAAGGGGUUUGGACAUGGCUCAGAACUGGUGUGAUAGUUCUCCUCUAGUUGUUCAGGCAAUCUUCUCCGGCUGACCACCCUACCUCUGUUUGCUGAAUUUCCAAAGGCAAAGGAAACCAAGCUGUUGCUCAACUGCAAAGAGCAAGAGAUACCUACUCAGCUGCCAACACCUAGAGCAAACCCAGUCCAGGUGGAUAAUGACCAAAAAAUCUUUAUCAUUUCGUGACCUGUGUCAAGUAUGUUGAAAGCUGGCCAAGGUUUCCUUAUUUCCACUUAUCUUGGAUGAAUUUUAGAAUAGUUUGGGCAAUAUGUCAUUGCUGAGAGGAGUGCAUCGUUUUAAAAAGCAAUGUUUCAGAAAUUUUGCAUGUAAAAGAAAUUCCUUGAGUUUUCAAUUGUAUUCUUCCUCCGAAACCCUGGAGAGAAAUGGAAAUACAUUCCUAGGAGCCCCUGAGUGAAGUUUCUGUAAUCUGAAUAAUUGGAGUUCCUAAAACCCUGCCAUCUAAUGAACAGAUGGGAUCAUGUCAUGAAUUCUUUGUGAAAAAGUUUCCAGAUAACUUUUUCUUAAUAACAAACCACCCUAGAACUUCUUGGCUUAAAAUAAUAAUAAUCUUUUAUUAGCCUGAAUCUGGAAUUUGGACAAGGCUCAAAGAAGAAGGCUUCAUUCUGGCCCGUUCAGUGUCAGCUUUGGGCCAUUAAACUCAGAAUAGGAGGAUUUGUUUCCCCAAUGGCUCAUUCACAUGCCUGGGAGACUGUGCUGCCUGUUGGCAUUCAACAGGAGCCGAGGACCAGGGACCGCAGUUUCUUACCAGGAGAGCCUCUCCAUGUCUAUCUCUCCACAGUUUCUCAUAGAUUUCCUCACUUCAUGGCAGUUCCACUCACAAAGAGAGCCCCAGUAGGAAUCAGCCCUUACCUGGAUAAUGAAAAUCUGAACAGUUAAGCGUUGUCCAUUAUACAAACAAUCUAGUCUUCAUACGAUAUUAUGUAUUUUAAUCCUGAACUCACAGGGCAAAAUAAAUUAGUGAACUAGCUCAUCAUUUGAAUAAUUUAGGUAAGUGGAUCAUUUUUUUUCUUCCAUUUAUUGAGAUCAUUUCAUUAAGAGUUGAAGGACUAGCUGGGAUGUAAAUUUGUGCAGCCACUAU